RNAcentral lists this transfer RNA (82 nucleotides) under Giardia muris. It matches the Rfam family "tRNA". From Rfam's summary of the family: Transfer RNA (tRNA) molecules are approximately 80 nucleotides in length. Their secondary structure includes four short double-helical elements and three loops (D, anti-codon, and T loops). Further hydrogen bonds mediate the characteristic L-shaped molecular structure. tRNAs have two regions of fundamental functional importance: the anti-codon, which is responsible for specific mRNA codon recognition, and the 3' end, to which the tRNAs corresponding amino acid is attached (by aminoacyl-tRNA synthetases). tRNAs cope with the degeneracy of the genetic code in two manners: having more than one tRNA (with a specific anti-codon) for a particular amino acid; and 'wobble' base-pairing, i.e. permitting non-standard base-pairing at the 3rd anti-codon position. The record is from Rfam by way of RNAcentral. Lineage: Eukaryota; Fornicata; Diplomonadida; Hexamitidae.
GACAGUCUGGCCGAGUGGUUAAGGCGGUUGGCUUGAAACCAACUGUGCUCUGCACGCGUGGGUUCGAAUCCCACGGCUGUCG